UCUGACGGAGCACGCCGCGUGAGUGAUGAAGGUUUUCGGAUCGUAAAGCUCAGUUGUUAGGGAAGAACAAGUGCGAGAGUAACUGCUCGCACCUUGACGGUACCUAACCAGAAAGCCACGGCUAACUACGUGCCAGCAGCCGCGGUAAUACGUAGGUGGCAAGCGUUGUCCGGAAUUAUUGGGCGUAAAGGGCUCGCAGGCGGUUUCUUAAGUCUGAUGUGAAAGCCCCCGGCUCAACCGGGGAGGGUCAUUGGAAACUGGGAAACUUGAGUGCAGAAGAGGAGAGUGGAAUUCCACGUGUAGCGGUGAAAUGCGUAGAGAUGUGGAGGAACACCAGUGGCGAAGGCGACUCUCUGGUCUGUAACUGACGCUGAGGAGCGAAAGCGUGGGGAGCGAACAGGAUUAGAUACCCUGGUAGUCCACGCCGUAAACGAUGAGUGCUAAGUGUUAGGGGGUUUCCGCCCCUUAGUGCUGCAGCUAACGCAUUAAGCACUCCGCCUGGGGAGUACGGUCGCAAGACUGAAACUCAAAGGAAUUGACGGGGGCCCGCACAAGCGGUGGAGCAUGUGGUUUAAUUCGAAGCAACGCGAAGAACCUUACCAGGUCUUGACAUCCUCUGACAACCCUAGAGAUAGGGCUUUCCCUUCGGGGACAGAGUGACAGGUGGUGCAUGGUUGUCGUCAGCUCGUGUCGUGAGAUGUUGGGUUAAGUCCCGCAACGAGCGCAACCCUUGAUCUUAGUUGCCAGCAUUCAGUUGGGCACUCUAAGGUGACUGCCGGUGACAAACCGGAGGAAGGUGGGGAUGACGUCAAAUCAUCAUGCCCCUUAUGACCUGGGCUACACACGUGCUACAAUGGACAGA
This 862-nucleotide ribosomal RNA is filed under the name Bacillus safensis. RNAcentral describes it as "bacterial SSU rRNA". It matches the Rfam family "Bacterial small subunit ribosomal RNA", at positions 382 to 1238 of the family's 1533-position model. Lineage: Bacteria; Bacillati; Bacillota; Bacilli; Caryophanales; Bacillaceae. The record is from RNAcentral.